Molecule: ribosomal RNA, 820 nt
Filed under: Bacillus pumilus
Lineage: Bacteria; Bacillati; Bacillota; Bacilli; Caryophanales; Bacillaceae
Description: partial 16S ribosomal RNA
Rfam family: Bacterial small subunit ribosomal RNA
Source: RNAcentral
CCCGCGGCGCNUUAGCUAAUUGGUGGGGUAAUGGCUCACCAUGGCGACGAUGCGUAGCCGACUUGAGAGGGUGAUCGGCCACACUGGGAAUGAGACACGGCCCAGANUCCUACGGGAGGCAGCNGUAGGGAAUCUUCCGCAAUGGACGAAAGUCUGAAGGAGCAACGCCGCGUGAGUGAUGAAGGUCUUCGGAUNGUAAAGCUNUGUUGUUAGGGAAGAACAAGUGCGAGAGUAACUGCUNGCACCUUGACGGUACCUAACCAGAAAGCCACGGCNAAAUACGUGCCAGCAGCCGCGGUAAUANGUAGGUGGCCAGCGUUGUCNGGAAUUAUUGGGCGUAAAGGGCUNGCCGGCGGUUUCUUAAGUUUGAUGUGAAAGCCCCCGGCUCNACCGGGGAGGGUCAUUGGAAANUGGGAAACUUGAGUGCAGAAGAGGAGAGUGGAAUUCCACGUGNAGCGGUGAAAUGCGUAGAGAUGUGGAGGAACACCAGUGGCGAAGGCGACUCUCUGGUCNGUAACUGACGNUGAGGAGCGAAAGCGUGGGGAGCGAACAGGAUUAGAUACCCUGGUAGUUCACGCCGUAAACGAUGAGUGNUAAGUGUUAGGGGGUUUCCGCCCNUUAGUGCUGCAGCUAACGCAUUAAGCACUCCGCCUGGGGAGUACGGUCGCAAGACUGAAACUCAAAGGAAUUGACGGGGGCCCGCACAAGCGGUGGAGCAUGUGGUUUAAUUCGAAGCAACGCGAAGAACCUUACCAGGUCUUGACAUCCUNNGACAACCCUAGAGAUAGGGCUUUCCCUUCGGGGACAGAGUGACAGGUGG